UGGAGUGGACUCUGAGGGCUCCCGGACUGGAGCCAUUUGACAAGUGGACUCUCUGAGAGCUCCCGGACUGGAGCAGGCUCUGGAACAACAGGAGUGGGUCUUGCUGCCCUCCUCCUUUGCUUGCAAAAUAAUGACAAAGCCUCAAUAUUCUCUGGGGAAGUUAGGUCCAACUUAAGACUCUCCAUGGGCACUGCAACAGGCACAGACUGACCAGAUGAAACCAGUAAACUGUGGUAACAGAGAGAGUCAAAACCCCAAAAGUCUUCAGUCUCUCCAUCUCCCAUAGAGGCAAGAGGUACUCCAAGCAUUCAUUAAAAGUCUCGUUGAGCUCAGAAUUACAAAAUUCCAGUCCUACCGCCAAACUCCAAACAGUCUGUGCAAGACCUCCAACUCCCAUCCCAUUGACGAAGAGCCACCAACGCUCCUUCUUAGAAGCGGGAGAAAGAACUCUAUGCCCGUGAUUCAAAGGUCAGUGAAGACUGGCUAGCUGCCAGGUCUGAGAUGAUGGCUGCAUUAUUCUGUCACGAAACAAUCUCAGAGUCAAUAUGAAGAUCCAAAUGCAGCAUUUAUUUUCCACAACAAAUGGUCCAAAAAACAGAGCAAACAGCAAAAAACACAAAGUAAUCCAGAAGGCAGUAGUCAACAACAUUAAAACCCCAAAGACAGGAUGACAAAAACACAGUGCAAUACUGCAGCAAACUAAGAUUAACAAAAACACGGUAUUUAUAGGGACACUAGCAAGAAUUAAUGACACACACCUGGAAAACAAUGAACCUGAUAGACAGAGCAAAGGGUGAUGGGAAAUGAAGUCCACAAGCAAUAACAGAGACCCUGGAGGAUCGCCCUCUGGUGGCUGUCAUGGGCACUGCAGCCAAUGGCUUGUAGACCCUUCAUCUUCAAAUGAUCUGCAGUCUCCAAAUGACCCUCAGUUUACUUUACUUGACUGAGCCUGUGAGAAAAUAUUCAGACCAUCCUAAGAACAACUAGGCUGCGUGACAAGCUUUCACUUUGACUGUUUGGGAUAGAUUGCAAGCUGAUCCACCAGCCUGUUUCAAUUUAAGCUGAAAAUUGUGACAGGAAAUGUGGGGGAUAAGAGGAAGUGGU
This is a long non-coding RNA of Cyprinus carpio (common carp), 1104 nucleotides long. The record is from Ensembl. Lineage: Eukaryota; Metazoa; Chordata; Actinopteri; Cypriniformes; Cyprinidae.